This is a long non-coding RNA of Canis lupus familiaris (dog), 528 nucleotides long. RefSeq lists it as uncharacterized. NCBI's taxonomy places the organism in Eukaryota, Metazoa, Chordata, Mammalia, Carnivora, Canidae. The transcript is spliced from 3 exons. The record is from RefSeq and is a predicted model, not a curated record.
GCUUCAGCUUUGGUGAAUGGAAGGGCCUUCCUCCUGCCUCCACUUUCAUGGGGUGAGAAACCAGAGCAAGCUGGGGUUCCCAUGGAAGCACCACAUAGGUUUCUGUGCUCUGCUCGCUCAGCUGUAGAGGAACUUUGUGUUCUCUCAACCUUCUCCUUAGAGGUCCCAAAUCCUUCAGCGCCUCCUGUGUUGCUCCUUCCACCUGGACUCAGGCUCAGGUGUACAGUUCAGCUGCAUUGAGUACAUUCAUGUUGUUGGGCAACCAUCACCACAUCCAUCUCCAGAACUUCUUCCUUGCAAAACUGAAACUCUGUACUCAUUAAACAGCAACUCUCCAGCCCCUGGUAACCAGCACUUCACUUUCUGCCUCUGUGAAUUUGACUACUGUAUGCAUCUCCUAUAAAUGGAAUCAAACAGUAUGUGUCUCUUUGUGUCUGGUUUAUUUAUUUAACUGAGCAUAAUGUCUCGAAGGUCCAUCCACGUUCUUGCAUGUGUCAGGAUUUCCUUCCUUUUUCAGACUGAAUAAUA